CCUACGGGAGGCAGCAGUGGGGAAUAUUGCACAAUGGGGGAAACCCUGAUGCAGCGACGCCGCGUGGAGGAAGAAGGUCUUCGGAUUGUAAACUCCUGUUGUUGAGGAAUGAUAAUGACGGUACUCAACAAGGAAGUGACGGCUAACUACGUGCCAGCAC
RNAcentral lists this ribosomal RNA (160 nucleotides) under uncultured bacterium. RNAcentral describes it as "partial 16S ribosomal RNA". It matches the Rfam family "Bacterial small subunit ribosomal RNA", at positions 338 to 514 of the family's 1533-position model. The record is from RNAcentral.